This 460-nucleotide ribosomal RNA is filed under the name uncultured bacterium. RNAcentral describes it as "partial 16S ribosomal RNA". It matches the Rfam family "Bacterial small subunit ribosomal RNA", at positions 338 to 795 of the family's 1533-position model. The record is from RNAcentral.
CCUACGGGUGGCAGCAGUGAGGAAUAUUGGUCAAUGGGCGCGAGCCUGAACCAGCCAAGUAGCGUGAAGUAUGACUGCCCUCCGGGUUGUAAACUUCUUUUAUAAAGGAAUAAAGUGAGACACGUGUGCCUUUUUGUAUGUACUUUAUGAAUAAGGAUCGGCUAACUCCGUGCCAGCAGCCGCGGUAAUACGGAGGAUCCGAGCGUUAUCCGGAUUUAGUGGGUUUAAAGUGAGCGUAGAUGGGUUGUUACGUCAGUUGUGAAAGUUUGCGGCUCAACCGUAAAAUUGCAAUUGAUACUGGCAGUCUUGAGUACAGUUGAGGUAGGCGGAAUGCGUGGUGUAGCGGUGAAAUGCUGAGAUAUCACGAAGAACUCCGAUUGCGAAGGCAGCUUACUAAACUGCCACUGACAUUGAUGCUCGAAAGUGUGGGUAUCAAACAGGAUUAGAUACCCCAGUAGUC